Molecule: transfer RNA, 94 nt
Filed under: Neurospora sp. IMI 360204
Lineage: Eukaryota; Fungi; Ascomycota; Sordariomycetes; Sordariales; Sordariaceae
Description: tRNA-Lys
Rfam family: tRNA
About the family: Transfer RNA (tRNA) molecules are approximately 80 nucleotides in length. Their secondary structure includes four short double-helical elements and three loops (D, anti-codon, and T loops).
Source: RNAcentral
GCCCGGCUAGCUCAAUCGGUAGAGCGUGAGACUCUUAAGGCUUUUAAGGUCCUCCGUAAUCUCAAGGUUGUGGGUUCGACCCCCACGUCGGGCU